Molecule: ribosomal RNA, 255 nt
Filed under: uncultured bacterium
Lineage: Bacteria
Description: partial 16S ribosomal RNA
Rfam family: Bacterial small subunit ribosomal RNA
Source: RNAcentral
UACGUAGGGUCCGAGCGUUUGUCCGGAAUUAUUGGGCGUAAAGAGCUUGUAGGCGGUUUGUCGCGUCUGCCGUGAAAGCCCAGGGCUUAACCCUGGGUCUGCGGUGGGUACGGGCAGACUAGAGUGUGGUAGGGGGAGACUGGAAUUCCUGGUGUAGCGGUGAAAUGCGCAGAUAUCAGGAGGAACACCGAUGGCGAAGGCAGGUCUCUGGGCCACUACUGACGCUGAGAAGCGAAAGCAUGGGGAGCAAACAGG